This 341-nucleotide unclassified non-coding RNA is filed under the name soil metagenome. RNAcentral's name for it is "partial contains 5.8S ribosomal RNA, internal transcribed spacer 2, and large subunit ribosomal RNA". The stretch from base 1 to 120 matches the Rfam family "5.8S ribosomal RNA", at positions 35 to 154 of the family's 154-position model. The record is from RNAcentral.
GAUAAAGAACGUAGCGAAAUGCGAUAAGUAGUGUGAAUUGCAGAAUUCAGUGAAUCAUCGAAUCUUUGAACGCACAUUGCGCCCUUUGGUAUUCCAAAGGGCAUGCCUGUUCGAGCGUCAUUUGUACCCUCAAGCUUUGCUUGGUGUUGGGCGUCUUGUCUCUAGCUUUGCUGGAGACUCGCCUUAAAGUAAUUGGCAGCCGGCCUACUGGUUUCGGAGCGCAGCACAAGUCGCACUCUCUAUCAGCAAAGGUCUAGCAUCCAUUAAGCCUUUUUUUCAACUUUUGACCUCGGAUCAGGUAGGGAUACCCGCUGAACUUAAGCAUAUCAAUAAGCGGAGGA